AACGAACGCUGGCGGCAUGCCUAACACAUGCAAGUCGAACGAGACCUUCGGGUCUAGUGGCGCACGGGUGCGUAACGCGUGGGAACCUGCCCUUAGGUUCGGAAUAACCCUCCGAAAGGGGUGCUAAUACCGGAUAAUGUCUUCGGACCAAAGAUUUAUCGCCUUUGGAUGGGCCCGCGUUGGAUUAGCUAGUUGGUAGGGUAAAAGCCUACCAAGGCGACGAUCCAUAGCUGGUCUGAGAGGAUGAUCAGCCACACUGGGACUGAGACACGGCCCAGACUCCUACGGGAGGCAGCAGUGGGGAAUAUUAGACAAUGGGCGAAAGCCUGAUCCAGCCAUGCCGCGUGAGUGAUGCAGGCCUUAGGAGUGUAAAGCUCUUUUACCCGGGAUGAUAAUGACAGUACCGGGAGAAUAAGCCCCGGCUAACUCCGUG
This 433-nucleotide ribosomal RNA is filed under the name uncultured bacterium. RNAcentral describes it as "partial 16S ribosomal RNA". It matches the Rfam family "Bacterial small subunit ribosomal RNA", at positions 29 to 507 of the family's 1533-position model. The record is from RNAcentral.